RNAcentral lists this non-coding RNA (24 nucleotides) under Arabidopsis thaliana (thale cress). The record is from RNAcentral. Lineage: Eukaryota; Viridiplantae; Streptophyta; Magnoliopsida; Brassicales; Brassicaceae.
AAAGUGGGUCAACGGCUACUGUGC